CCAGGCUCAGGACGAACGCUGGCGGCGUGCUUAAUACAUGCAAGUCGAGCGGACCGAUUAGAAAGCUUGCUUUUUAAUUGGUUAGCGGCGGACGGGUGAGUAACACGUGGGUAACCUGCCCUAUAGACCGGGAUAACUCGCGGAAACGCGUGCUAAUACCGGAUAACACACCGAAGCGCAUGCUUCGGGGUUGAAAGAUGGUUCUGCUAUCACUAUAGGAUGGGCCCGCGGCGCAUUAGCUAGUUGGUGGGGUAACGGCCUACCAAGGCGACGAUGCGUAGCCGACCUGAGAGGGUGAUCGGCCACACUGGGACUGAGACACGGCCCAGACUCCUACGGGAGGCAGCAGUAGGGAAUCUUCCACAAUGGGCGAAAGCCUGAUGGAGCAACGCCGCGUGAGCGAAGAAGGUCUUCGGAUCGUAAAGCUCUGUUGUAAGGGAAGAACAAGCGCAGCAGUCACUGGCUGCGCCCUGACGGUACCUUACUAAAAAGCCACGGCUAACUACUGCCACAGCCGCGGUAUACCUAG
This 529-nucleotide ribosomal RNA is filed under the name Ureibacillus thermosphaericus. RNAcentral describes it as "bacterial SSU rRNA". It matches the Rfam family "Bacterial small subunit ribosomal RNA", at positions 18 to 530 of the family's 1533-position model. The record is from RNAcentral. Lineage: Bacteria; Bacillati; Bacillota; Bacilli; Caryophanales; Caryophanaceae.